CAGGAUGGGGAGUACUAGUACACACUAGCACUUGCAGUCACAGGGAAGCAGGAGACCCUGGUUACAGUUCCAAGACAGAAAAGAGUGCUUGUGGUUACUCACAGACCAGAACACAGGAGAGUAUUAAACAUACCUAUCCUUACGUCACCUUGGAAGAACUGAAAACUUUAAAUCCACAGAGCUUGGAAAAUCACCUUGGAAGAACUGAAAACUUAUAGAUCCACAGAGCUAGCUCUGAAAGCAGUUGCACAAAGAACAUGGAGCUUGGAAUCCUUCACUGUAGGAACAGAGCCCAAUUUUAAUUUUUUAAGUUAAAAUAAAAGGGGAAAAGCUGUAAAAUGAGCAAACAACAAAAAAAGAAACUCAACAAAGUUAUUUUGGUGACAAGGAAGACCAAAACACAAACUCAGAAAAAGACAACAAAGUCAAACUGCUAUAUCCAAAGCUUCCAAGAAAAUAUGAUUUAGUCUCAAGUCCAAAAGAACUAACAAAGGAGCUCAAAAAAUAUUUUAAAAAUCAGAGAGAUAGGAGAAAAAUUGGGAAAAGAAAUGAGAGUGAUAUGAGAAAGUCUUGAAAAAAGUCAACAGCAUGGUAAAGGAGGAAGGAACAAAGGAAGAAAGGAAGAAAAGCAUCACCUGCCUGGGAAUACAACAGAAGCCAGUUCUCUGAGACCAACUACACAAUAAUGCCUCUCAUAGGUAUAUCUCAUUGUCACAGGGACGAGAAAAAUGGCUCAGAACCAGCAAGGAGAAACAGAUGUUUUAACUUGUAUUUAAAUUCUCAGUUGUCUUCAGCCCAAAUAAGGAGCAAGGUGUAGAAGAAAGAACACUGAUGACCUGGGGUUGAAUUCUGCCCUUACUACUUGUAUAUGAGCCUCGGUUAAGAACUGGGCUGGACAGAAGAAGAGUUGGGAGCUUUGCCUCUGAAAACCCUCUAUUCACCCCUUAAAGGGGAAAGGUUGCCCCCUCCAGAAUCCACCAAAGACUAGCACAGGGCUCAGAAUCAUGGCGUCCUGGACUCAAAACUAAAAGGAUCUUCCCUGCCUCAAGCUCAGGGAGAAACAGCAGCCACCAAACCAUAGAUGGAUUUAUUUGGUGUGAUAGCCUUUAAAACAGGACCCUAAAAUGGUCCCUCAUCCCUCAUCACCACCAGAUCAGCCUUUAACUGGAGAGCACGUCAAUGUCUGACUCGGGAGAACAGGUGUCGACACUUGAACGAACGCCUGUCACAAAUUUCCUUCAAAAGCCAACUUCGAACUCAACGCAUCUUGAGUGGUUUCUCGGUGGAUAAUUGAGUUGAAGGCAGCGAGUGAGCUGGGACCAUCCAUCUAGUGCAGGCAUUACUGGAGGCAAAUCGAGAGAAGAGAGACUUGGAGAAACUUAAAAAUUGGGUUCAUUCAAGGGAAGAAUUCCAUGAAGUAAGGGGGAAAUGAUGUGUGGGUUAGAUUCUACCCUGUUCCUGAUAAUCCCCAAAUAAAUCACCUAACUGAAAG
Monodelphis domestica (gray short-tailed opossum) is the source of this 1492-nucleotide non-coding RNA. The record is from RefSeq and is a predicted model, not a curated record. NCBI's taxonomy places the organism in Eukaryota, Metazoa, Chordata, Mammalia, Didelphimorphia, Didelphidae.